GAUGAACGCUAGCGGCAGGCUUAACACAUGCAAGUCGAGGGGCAGCGAGGGUAGCAAUACCUGUCGGCGACCGGCGGAAGGGUGAGUAACGCGUGAGCAACAUACCCGUAUCAGUGGGAUAAUACAGGGAAACUUGUUCUAAUAUCGCAUAAUAUUAUUCAGAGGCAUCUUUGGAUAAUUAAAGUUACGGCGGAUACGGAAUGGCUCGCGUGACAUUAGCUAGAUGGUAGGGUAAUGGCCUACCAUGGCGAUGAUGUCUAGGGGUUCUGAGAGGGAGGUCCCCCACACUGGAACUGAGACACGGUCCAGACUCCUACGGGAGCAGCAGUGAGGAAUAUUGGACAAUGGAUGGAAAUCUGAUCCAGCCAUGCCGCGUGCAGGAAGGCGGCCCUAUGGGUUGUAAAACUGCUUUUUGACGGGAGCAAAUAAGGUCUACGAGUAGAUUGAUGAGAGUACUGUACGAAAUAAGCAUCGGCUAACUCCG
Molecule: ribosomal RNA, 484 nt
Filed under: uncultured bacterium
Lineage: Bacteria
Description: bacterial SSU rRNA
Rfam family: Bacterial small subunit ribosomal RNA
Source: RNAcentral